Non-coding RNA from Heterocephalus glaber (naked mole-rat), 3690 nucleotides. The record is from RefSeq and is a predicted model, not a curated record. NCBI's taxonomy places the organism in Eukaryota, Metazoa, Chordata, Mammalia, Rodentia, Bathyergidae.
GGGAACCACACAGUGAUCACAAGUGUCCCAGCCUGCCCAAGGGGGGAGGGAGUGGGGUAUUAUACACCAAUGCAUAGGCGGGGACUUGCUCCCAGGGACUGUGGCUUGCAGAGGACCAGUGCCACUCCUGUCUCUGUGUGCAGGGCCAGAAAAGGCCCUGAGCGAGGAGAUGCGAGAUGCUGGCGUCUGGAAGUGUAGAGACGCGCUAAUGAGCUCCCGGUGGGCCACACAGCAUCCUGGAUACAAAGGGCAGACUGGACCAGGAAAGUCAGUGAGCCAGCCUCUUCUGUAAGAGAUGAAGAUGCUGCUCCCUGAACAAUUCACUGCGUUCUCAAAGUCUUGAGAAACACAACUGCCGGUGCUGGAACCAAGAGAGGGUUUGUCCCCAGUUGCUUCUGUCUGUGACCUUCGCUUCCUUCUAGACAUCUGCUUGCCUAGUCCCUGGUGCCAGAGGGACAAGUGCCAACUAGGGGACAGGUGGUACCCUCUGCAGCAGGGCCAAAGUCCCGCAGGCAGAAGACCUGGCUGAGCCUUUGUCUGCUGUUCAUCUGCUGGGGAGUGGAGGACAGGCUGAGGAUUGAGCGCAAAGCCAGAGCCAUGGCACAGAUCUCCCAGCUGGAACCUGCUGCGUGACCCUCAGCGGCUCUGUUUCCUCACCCAUAAAAUGGAGAUGCUAACCUGUGCCCUGCUUCCUGCGCACGGCUGUUGUAAGGAUCAAGGGAGAUGAAAGCAGAGACAAAAGUUUUUGAAAAGUUGAAAGUCCUCUGUGGCUGUCAACUCGGAGAGGCACUAAUUACCCAGAGGUGAGUUUUCUGGCAGCCGGGGCUCUCAGAACACAGACCCCAACUGGCUAGUGGCUUUCAAAGGUCUGAUGGAAUUCAACACAGGAUCUUGGUUUGGGUUUUUUUAAAAAAAGAAAAAGGAGAAGGAGAAGGAGAAGAUGCAAUGCUCAAAAGCACAUUAUUGGGGCAACCGGCCAUAUUUGAACAAAGUCUAUCUAAUAGAUAAUAGUAUUGUCUUAAUGUCAAACUUGGUGAAUUUGGUCAUUGUAUUGCAGCUAUAUAAGAGUUUGUAACCAUCCCUAUGAGUUAGGGGAGGAAGGAUAAGAUCCAAAUGUCACGAUGCCUGCAGCUCACUCUCAUAUGGCUCAGCUACAAAAUAAUACCAACACUAAUAACAGCAGCAGCAAUACUGGGUAAGUAUCCUACUCUAAAAAUCCCAAAAUUGGAAAUGCUCCAAAAUCUGAAACUUUUGAGUUCUGAAACAAUACUAGAAAUGGAAAAUUCCAUACCUAACUUCACGGGAUGGGGCCCAGUCAAAACGCAGGUGCACUGAAAAAUAGUGUGUCAAAUUACCUUCAGGCUACAUGGUUAUGGUAUAUAUAACUACACAUGAAUUCUGCAUUUUGAAUUCAGUUCCAUCCAAAAGAUAUCUCAUUUUGGAUGUGCAAAUAUUCCACAACCCAAAAAAAUCUGAAAUACUUCUGGUCCCAAUCACUGCAGUUAAAGGAAAUGUGAACUAUAACAACAAUAACAUGCACAAUAAAUACGUGUGUGCUCAUAUACAGAGAGGAAAAAAUGUGGGAAAAUAUUAAGAAUUGUUGAAUCCUAAUGACUUGUGAAUAUAGCAAUAUAUACAUAUUGUUUUAGUAGUUUUUUCGUAAGCUUGAUUUUUUUUUCAAAUGGAAAGAUUUUUUUAAAAUACCGAUCAGUCAAUCAACCAUCUCCUUCCUCAGAAACAAGUGUCAGAGCCUCUGAGCCACUCUAGACACUGCACUAAUGUUGGAAACGGCACUUCCUGACCCCUCACUCACAGCUCCCUGGCUCAUAUUCAACGCAGACUUCUAGAAGACUUGGUUAUCUGAUUUGUCAGCCCAGAACAGAAUUAGAAAUUAAAAGGUAGGUGGAGGUAGUGGCAAGUGCAAUGACAUGGAAGAUGUGAGAGUUGACAUCCGGAUAUCAAGACGCCCCGCGGUGUUGGAGGCUGGAGCUAAAAGGCCUUCCCAGCACAGGAACGGAGGGGGAGGGGUGGCUCCUCAAAGAUCCCUGGGCCAGUAACUCCUCGGGCAGCCUAAAUUCGGGCCUGGGAAGUUUGCUUUACAGUACUCUGCUCCAUGCUGAGACUGCGUCGUUAUGGGAAAGGUGGGUUGUUCAGGGUCUCUGAUCAGAAAGAUAGGGAAACACAGACAUCAAAAACUCCGAAAACUUCUCAUUGUUCCUCGAAGAAGUAGCUAUGACAAAUGCCAUUGGUGGCCUCUGCCACAGCCCCCCCCCCUUCUUUCUUCCUGUCAGAUUUCAACUACUCAGAAAGACCAUGGCCAUAUAACUUUGUGGGACCUGAGAAGGAGGCUUCUGUAGAUCUGGGGAAAAAUUCUCCUCUGAUUAAAAAUGGCAUGUAAGGAGAAACUUCUCUUUAUGUCCUACUUUGGAUGUGAUUUAAUAAGGAUAUGACAUCUAGAGUUGGGGCAGCCCUUUUGUGAUCAUGAGGAAACAAGUUGAAGAUUAAAAACCAAUAUUCUGUGUAAGGAGGGGAGGAAUGGGAAGACCUUCCAUUUUUAAUGACCUGACUAAAAAGCAGAAUCAAUCAACCCUGCAACCAAACUUCUUGUCAGACAUUCUCAUUAUUUGAAUCGGAUUCAGUUUGCCAUUCUGUUAUUUGCAGCCAAAAACAUUCUACAUCACCCUGGGAGAGCAUGUGUUUUCCAGAAACAUUUAUUUCUGCAAGUCCUUUCAUUUCUGGAAUGCCUUACCGUGGAGAGGAGAGUUCAGAGAGCUUGAACAAAUUGUCAGAGAUGAGGGCCUCUCAAAACUCUUUGGAGAGGAAGUAAAUAUACAUGAAGUUAUUUUAAAAGCAGGUCAGCCUAACAGAGUGCAACAGUGAAGUGUAAUGUCACUUUGACUGGAUUAAGAGACUCCUGGAGAAGUGCUUGAUCAUGGGAGCACUAUAGGAAUCCACUGCUGUUCACUUAGGAGGUGGGGCCCAGCUGGUGAAGGUGGGUCCCUAGGGCAGAUCUCUCACUUGUGCUCCUCCCUGUACCCUGCUUCCUGGCCACCAGGAAGCGAGCAGCUUCGCUUCACUCACCCCACCCCCAUGAUGUUUCUGCUUUAGGACCAGCUGACGAUGAAUUGAAUCCUCUGAAAUCAUGAGACAAAAUAAGCCUACUCUCCUUUAAGUUGUAGGUAUCACAUAUUUGGUCUCAGCAAUGAGCAAGCUGACAAAUACACAGGGGUUCUGAUACUGUUGUUAUAGUUUUUGACAGGUCCUCUACACCAUUACUUCCUCAACUUGGCUGCGUCAUGAUAAUCAAGAACGUUUGUUAAGAAUACAGAUACUGAGGUUCCUUCAUUUCUGUAGAAUCAGAAUCCUGGGAGUCCACAAACCAUUUCUCCUCACCAAGCUCUUGAUGAGUGUGGUCAAUGGUCUUCCAUCAGACAGCCUCAGGAAUUGAACUCAGGACCUUGAGCUUGCAAGGCAGGCGGCAGCACCGCGGAGCUAAAUCCCCGGCCCUAUUAAUAUAUUUUUAAUUCAAGAAGAGAUACGACAUCAUCAGCAUCCCAGAAACCCCCCUUGCACCUAUUCUCAAUCAAUUACUUUUUAAAGACAACCAUUGUUUUGAUUCUUAUCACUGUAGAUAAGUUUUGCCUGUCUUUGAGUUGUGUAUAAAUGAAAUAAAUCACACAUCACACACUU